GAGGAUAUAGCUCAGUGGUAGAGUGUGUGCUUAGCAUGCACAAGGUCCUGGGUUCUAUCCCCAGCACCUCCA
This 72-nucleotide transfer RNA is filed under the name Camelus bactrianus (Bactrian camel). It matches the Rfam family "tRNA". Rfam says of the family: Transfer RNA (tRNA) molecules are approximately 80 nucleotides in length. The record is from Rfam by way of RNAcentral. Lineage: Eukaryota; Metazoa; Chordata; Mammalia; Artiodactyla; Camelidae. RNAcentral also lists the same sequence under 2 other names.